GGCUCAGAUUGAACGCUGGCGGCAUGCCUUACACAUGCAAGUCGAACGCGAAAGGGGGGCAACCCCCGAGUAGAGUGGCGAACGGGUGAGUAAUACAUCGGAACGUGUCCAGUAGCGGGGGAUAACCUCUCGAAAGAGAGGCUAAUACCGCAUACGACCUACGGGUGAAAGCAGGGGAUCGCAAGACCUUGCACUAUUGGAGCGGCCGAUGUCGGAUUAGCUAGUUGGCGGGGUAACGGCCCACCAAGGCUACGAUCCGUAGCUGGUCUGAGAGGACGACCAGCCACACUGGAACUGAGACACGGUCCAGACUCCUACGGGAGGCAGCAGUGGGGAAUUUUGGACAAUGGGGGAAACCCUGAUCCAGCCAUGCCGCGUGGGUGAAGAAGGCCUUCGGGUUGUAAAGCCCUUUCGGUGGGGACGAAACGGUGCGUGCUAACACCACGUACUAAUGACGGUACCCACAGAAGAAGCACCGGCUAACUACGUGCCAGCAGCCGCGGUAAUACGUAGGGUGCAGGCGUUAAUCGGAAUUACUGGGCGUAAAGCGUGCGCAGGCGGUUUGCUAAGACAGGUGUGAAAUCCCCGGGCUUAACCUGGGAACUGCGCUUGUAACUGGCAAGCUGGAGUGUGGCAGAGGGGGGUGGAAUUCCACGUGUAGCAGUGAAAUGCGUAGAGAUGUGGAGGAACACCGAUGGCGAAGGCAGCCCCCUGGGCUAACACUGACGCUCAUGCACGAAAGCGUGGGGAGCAAACAGGAUUAGAUACCCUGGUAGUCCACGCCCUAAACUAUGUCAACUGGUUGUCGGGGAAGCAAUUCCUUGGUAACGAAGCUAACGCGUGAAGUUGACCGCCUGGGGAGUACGGCC
RNAcentral lists this ribosomal RNA (869 nucleotides) under uncultured bacterium. Its description in RNAcentral is "bacterial SSU rRNA". It matches the Rfam family "Bacterial small subunit ribosomal RNA", at positions 21 to 887 of the family's 1533-position model. The record is from RNAcentral.